RNAcentral lists this non-coding RNA (27 nucleotides) under Mus musculus (house mouse). Lineage: Eukaryota; Metazoa; Chordata; Mammalia; Rodentia; Muridae. The record is from RNAcentral.
UGAGAAAUUCCUUAGGUAGCAGAAGUA